GGCGCUGUGGCUCAGUGGUAGAGCGCUUGCCUCACAUGCAUGAGGCCCUGGCAUCAACUCCUCAGCACCA
This 70-nucleotide transfer RNA is filed under the name Dipodomys ordii (Ord's kangaroo rat). It matches the Rfam family "tRNA". Rfam says of the family: Transfer RNA (tRNA) molecules are approximately 80 nucleotides in length. Their secondary structure includes four short double-helical elements and three loops (D, anti-codon, and T loops). The record is from Rfam by way of RNAcentral. Lineage: Eukaryota; Metazoa; Chordata; Mammalia; Rodentia; Heteromyidae.